CAGAUCCGGGCUGGGGCUCGUGCACCCUGGGAGUGUUCAUCGGUUUGGAAUGUUCUGGGUCAAGUCUGUGAGCCUGUCCCACUGGGAGGAGCACAAGCUGCAGAUGACACCCUCCAUUUAAUAAACCGAAAAACACACCUGAACAGUUCAUGGCUGAGAACGUAAUGAGGCGAUGAAGGGUAAAUACGAGUCGGCCGUUCCAGUCUACUACUACGAACCCACCCACAGAGACUGCCAGUCAGUUACCGUAGCAACGCAUACACAGUACAGUCGCUAAGGAGCCAAAAGCAGUGAUUAAGGUGGACACCAUCACGACGCGACCUUCCAGCCUGAGAAGAUGGUAAACCGAACGG
Long non-coding RNA from Sphaeramia orbicularis (orbiculate cardinalfish), 353 nucleotides. RefSeq lists it as uncharacterized. NCBI's taxonomy places the organism in Eukaryota, Metazoa, Chordata, Actinopteri, Kurtiformes, Apogonidae. The transcript is spliced from 3 exons. The record is from RefSeq and is a predicted model, not a curated record.